GUCCUCCACACAGAGAGACUAGGGCUUUAUCUGGGUCUGUCCUCCACACAGAGAGACUAGGGCUUUAUCUGGGUCUGUCCUCCACACAGAGAGACUAGGGCUGAAUAUGGGUCUGUCUGUCCACACAGCGAGACUAGGGCUUUAUCUGGGUCAGUCUGUCCACACAGAGAGCCUUGGGCUUUAUCUGGGUCAGUCUGUCCACACAGAGAGACUAGGGCUGUAUCUGGGUCAGUCUGUCCACACAGCGAGACUAGGGCUUUAUCUGGGUCAGUCUGUCCACACAGCGAGACUAGGGCUGAAUAUGUUUCUGGGUCUGUAUCUGGGUCAGUCUGUCCACACAGAGAGACUAGGGCUGAAUAUGUUUCUGGGUCUAUAUCUGGGUCAGUCCUCUACACAGAGAGACUAGGGCUUUAUCUGGGUCUGUAUCUGGGUCAGUCCUCCACACAGAGAGACUAGGGCUGAAUAUGGGUCUGUAUCUGGUCUGUCUGUCCACACAGAGAGACUAGGGCUGAAUAUGGGUCUGUAUCUGGGUCAGUCUGUCCACACAGAGAGACUAGGGCUGAAUAUGUUUCUGGGUCUGUAUCUGGGUCUGUCCUCUACACAGAGAGACUAGGGCUGAAUAUGGGUCUGUUUCUGGGUCUGUCCUCCACACAGAGAGACUAGGGCUGAAUAUGGGUCUGUUUCUGGGUCAGUCCUCCACACAGAGAGACUGGGGCUUUAUCUGGGUCUGUUUCUGGGUCAGUCCUCCACACAGAGAGACUGGGGCUGAAUCUCAAGCUGACCCUUGGCCGCUAAUCCCUUUGUGUUUGAUAGUGAUCACUCAACUGCCACUGUUCUGGGACAGGGAGAGACCAGCCUGCCCUCCUCUGCUGUGAGCCCCAUUCAGCCAGCCAGUCAGCCAGCCAGCCAGCCAUAUGCUUUUUUUUAAGGAGCUCCUCGUGUCUUUUUGAUGAAGAACCUGCAGUAUGGAACUGUCGAGGUGUCAGUCACAAUCAUUGUUCUGCU
Molecule: long non-coding RNA, 1005 nt
Organism: Oncorhynchus tshawytscha (Chinook salmon)
Lineage: Eukaryota; Metazoa; Chordata; Actinopteri; Salmoniformes; Salmonidae
Source: Ensembl